CACAGGUGGUGCAUGGUUGUCGUCAGCUCGUGUCGUGAGAUGUUGGGUUAAGUCCCGCAACGAGCGCAACCCUCGUUCUAUGUUGCCAGCACGUCAUGGUGGGGACUCAUAGGAGACUGCCGGGGUCAACUCGGAGGAAGGUGGGGACGACGUCAAAUCAUCAUGCCCCUUAUGUCUUGGGCUUCAAGCAUGCUACAAUGGUCGGUACAAUGGGUUGCGAAGCUGUGAGGUGGAGCGAAUCCCAAAAAGCCGGCCUCAGUUCGGAUUGGGGUCUGCAACUCGACCCCAUGAAGUCGGAGUCGCUAGUAAUCGCAGAUCAGCAACGCUGCGGUGAAUACGUUCCCGGGCCUUGUACACACCGCCCGUCAAGUCACGAAAGUCGGUAACACCCGAAGCCAGUGGCCCAUCCUCGUGAGGGAGCUGUCGAAGGUGGGAUCGGUGAUUGGGACU
Molecule: ribosomal RNA, 450 nt
Filed under: Brachybacterium paraconglomeratum
Lineage: Bacteria; Bacillati; Actinomycetota; Actinomycetes; Micrococcales; Dermabacteraceae
Description: bacterial SSU rRNA
Rfam family: Bacterial small subunit ribosomal RNA
Source: RNAcentral